UAGAAAAUAUAGUAUUUAAAGUAUAUAAAAUUGCAAGUUUUAAGGAAUAAUUAUUUUCU
RNAcentral lists this transfer RNA (59 nucleotides) under Trichuris sp. LO613. Its description in RNAcentral is "tRNA-Cys". Lineage: Eukaryota; Metazoa; Nematoda; Enoplea; Trichinellida; Trichuridae. The record is from RNAcentral.